RNAcentral lists this ribosomal RNA (497 nucleotides) under uncultured bacterium. RNAcentral's name for it is "partial 16S ribosomal RNA". It matches the Rfam family "Bacterial small subunit ribosomal RNA", at positions 28 to 507 of the family's 1533-position model. The record is from RNAcentral.
GAUGAACGCUGGCGGCGUGCCUAAUACAUGCAAGUCGAGCGAACAGACGAGGCGCUUGCUCCUCUGACGUUAGCGGCGGACGGGUGAGUAACACGUGGAUAACCUACCUAUAAGACUGGGAUAACUUCGGGAAACCGGAGCUAAUACCGGAUAAUAUAUUGAACCGCAUGGUUCAAUAGUGAAAGACGGUUUUGCUGUCACUUCUAGAUGGAUCCGCGCCGCAUUAGAUAGUUGGUAAGGUAACGGCUUACCAAGGCGACGAUGCGUAGCCGACCUGAGAGGGUGAUAGGCCACACGGGAACGGAAACAGGGACAAGACUCCUAAGGGAGGCAGCAGUAGGGAAUCUUACGCAAUGGGCGAAAGCAUGACGGAGCAACGCCGCGUGAGUGAUGAAGGUCUUCGGAUCGUAAAGCUCUGUUAUUAGGGAAGAACAAAUGUGGAAGUAACUAUGCACGUCUUGACGGUACCUAAUCAGAAAGCCACGGCUAACUACGUG